RNAcentral lists this ribosomal RNA (253 nucleotides) under uncultured bacterium. Its description in RNAcentral is "partial 16S ribosomal RNA". It matches the Rfam family "Bacterial small subunit ribosomal RNA", at positions 524 to 776 of the family's 1533-position model. The record is from RNAcentral.
UACAGGGGGCUCGAGCGUUAGUCGGAAUCACUGGGCUUAAAGGGUGCGUAGGCGGCUCGCCAAGUGCUUUGUGAAAUCCCACAGCUCAACUGUGGAACAGCAGGGCAAACUGGCGAGCUUGAGGCAGGUAGGGGCCGGAAGAACAGUUGGUGGAGCGGUGAAAUGCGUAGAUAUCAGGAGGAACACCGGUGGCGAAGGCGGAUCUCUGGGCCUUACCUGACGCUCAGGCGCGAAAGCUAGGGGAGCGAACAGG